This 237-nucleotide ribosomal RNA is filed under the name uncultured bacterium. RNAcentral's name for it is "partial 16S ribosomal RNA". It matches the Rfam family "Bacterial small subunit ribosomal RNA", at positions 15 to 250 of the family's 1533-position model. The record is from RNAcentral.
GAUCCUGGCUCAGAUUGAACGCUGGCGGCAUGCCUUACACAUGCAAGUCGAACGGCAGGCGGGGGAGCUUGCUCCUGCCGGCGAGUGGCGAACGGGUGAGUAAUGCAUCGGAACGUGUCCUGUCGUGGGGGAUAACUGGCCGAAAGGUCAGCUAAUACCGCAUGAGACCCGAGGGUGAAAGGCGGGGGAUCGCAAGACCUCGCGCGACUGGAGCGGCCGAUGUCUGAUUAGCUUGGG